AUUCCCCUAGUAGCGGCGAGCGAAGCGGGAAGAGCUCAAAUUUAUAAUCUGGCACUUUCAGUGUCCGAGUUGUAAUCUCUAGAAGUGUUUUCCGCGUUGGACCGCACACAAGUCUGUUGGAAUACAGCGGCACAGUGGUGACACCCCCGUACACGGUGCGGACGCCCAGCGCUUUGUGAUACACUUUCGAAGAGUCGAGUUGUUUGGGAAUGCAGCUCAAAUUGGGUGGUAAAUUCCAUCUAAAGCUAAAUAUUGGCGAGAGACCGAUAGCGAACAAGUACCGUGAGGGAAAGAUGAAAAGCACUUUGGAAAGAGAGUUAACAGUACGUGAAAUUGUUGGAAGGGAAACGCUUGAAGUCAGACUUGCUUGCCGGAGCUUGCUUCGGUUUGCAGGCCAGCAUCAGUUUUCCGGGGUGGAUAAUGGCGGUUAGAAGGUAGCAGCUUCAGCUGUGUUAUAGCUUUCCGCUGGAUACAUCCUGGGGGACUGAGGAACGCAGCGUGCUUUUAGCGGGGGUUUCGACCUCUUCACGCUUAGGAUGCUGGUGUAAUGGCUUUAAACGACCCGUCUUGAAACACGGACCAAGGAGUCUAACAUGCUUGCGAGUAUUUGGGUGUCAAACCCGGAUGCGUAAUGAAAGUGAAUGUAGGUGGGAACCGCAAGGUGCACCAUCGACCGAUCUGGAUUUUCUAAGAUGGAUUUGAGUAAGAGCACGUAUGUUGGGACCCGAAAGAUGGUGAACUAUGCCUGAAUAGGGCGAAGCCAGAGGAAACUCUGGUGGAGGCUCGUAGCGGUUCUGACGUGCAAAUCGAUCGUCAAAUUUGGGUAUAGGGGCGAAAGACUAAUCGAACCAUCUAGUAGCUGGUUCCUGCCGAA
Molecule: ribosomal RNA, 874 nt
Filed under: Rhodotorula paludigena
Lineage: Eukaryota; Fungi; Basidiomycota; Microbotryomycetes; Sporidiobolales; Sporidiobolaceae
Description: LSU rRNA
Rfam family: Eukaryotic large subunit ribosomal RNA
Source: RNAcentral